GCCCUUAGAGUUUGAUCCUGGCUCAGGACGAACGCUGGCGGCGUGCCUAAUACAUGCAAGUCGAGCGGACCGAACGGAAGCUUGCUUCUGUUCGGUUAGCGGCGGACGGGUGAGUAACACGUGGGUAACCUGCCCGUAAGACCGGGAUAACUCCGGGAAACCGGGGCUAAUACCGGAUAACACCGAAGACCGCAUGGUCUUCGGUUGAAAGGUGGCUUUUGCUACCACUUACGGAUGGGCCCGCGGCGCAUUAGCUAGUUGGUGAGGUAACGGCUCACCAAGGCGACGAUGCGUAGCCGGCCUGAGAGGGUGACCGGCCACACUGGGACUGAGACACGGCCCAGACUCCUACGGGAGGCAGCAGUAGGGAAUCUUCCGCAAUGGACGAAAGUCUGACGGAGCGACGCCGCGUGAGCGAAGAAGGUCUUCGGAUCGUAAAGCUCUGUUGUUAGGGAAGAAGAAGUACCGUUCGAAUAGGGCGGUACGGUGACGGUACCUAACGAGAAAGCCCCGGCUAACUACGUGCCAGCAGCCGCGGUAAUACGUAGGGGGCGAGCGUUGUCCGGAAUUAUUGGGCGUAAAGCGCGCGCACGCGGUCCCUUAAGUCUGAUGUGAAAGCCCACGGCUCAACCGUGGAGGGUCAUUGGAAACUGGGGGACUUGAGUGCAGAAGAGAGAGCGGAAUUCCACGUGUAGCGGUGAAAUGCGUAGAGAUGUGGAGGAACACCAGUGGCGAAGSGGCUCUCUGGUCU
RNAcentral lists this ribosomal RNA (751 nucleotides) under Parageobacillus toebii. Its description in RNAcentral is "bacterial SSU rRNA". It matches the Rfam family "Bacterial small subunit ribosomal RNA", at positions 1 to 735 of the family's 1533-position model. Lineage: Bacteria; Bacillati; Bacillota; Bacilli; Caryophanales; Anoxybacillaceae. The record is from RNAcentral.